This 497-nucleotide long non-coding RNA is filed under the name Amborella trichopoda. Its description in RNAcentral is "long non-coding RNA (ATRI_LNC002089)". Lineage: Eukaryota; Viridiplantae; Streptophyta; Magnoliopsida; Amborellales; Amborellaceae. The record is from RNAcentral.
CGCGGUUUCAGGUGAAAAAUAGAAAAAUAAUCCUACUUGCCCUGCCAAAAAUUGUCUAUACCAUUUUUUUUUGAGUUUUCACGGUAUGGUUUUAGGGAUUAUAUUCUUCUCGCCGGACUUUUAACAAGUUGAUUUUGGCCGUCUUUUUUUGCCGGAAUCCUCCAAUCUGAGUUUCUUAUCCUUGCUGUUCAGGUGCGUUUUGGGGGUGAGCAUAAGAAUGGACCAAAAUCAUAACCUCCCAUCAUAAAUCCUUUGCAUUUCAGUCCUUAGACAUUGAAACCUAAUAUCUCUAAUAUCUGAAAUAUCCCAUUGCAUUUCAGUCCUUAGACCUUGAAACCUAACAUUUCCAACAUCUGAACACCUUGAGACUUAACAUUUCCAAUAUCUAAAAUACCCUAAACAGAUACCGAAAAAGAACAAGAGAGAGAGUUGGGGGUGUUUUGUAAUUUCAAAUAGUGAGAAAGGAAGAGAUGUAACGAAUGUUACCCAGAAGAGCA